Long non-coding RNA from Trichoplusia ni (cabbage looper), 2666 nucleotides. RefSeq lists it as uncharacterized. The record is from RefSeq and is a predicted model, not a curated record. NCBI's taxonomy places the organism in Eukaryota, Metazoa, Arthropoda, Insecta, Lepidoptera, Noctuidae. The transcript has 3 exons.
UUUAACUAGUAUUAUACUAGCUAAUAAAAAUAACAGUGAUUAAAUCUGUACCAUAUCAAACAAGUCGCAUCACUUACAAUGGGGGAAUGUCAUCGCGGAAGUGCGGUCUGGCUGUCAGUUGCAACCACACAUAACCAUGUGGUGUGGUCGUAUGGUAUAUGGUCUGCGGCAGGGGUGGUCAAGCUGUUGAUUGACCGGUCAAUCAAAAAUAAGGAUUAAUUAACAACGUAUUAUCAAUAUAUAAGAUAAACAAAAUAUAUUGAUAUCAAGUUUUUGUUUUAAAAAUGUAAUUAUUAAAUUUAGUAAUAUUAUUAAGGUAGGUAAUAAUUAUCGCUGGGUUGGGUUGGCGAUGUGAUUGCGUAGAACAGAAAAAGUAAACUUUCGAUUUAUGCUAGUGAUUUUAACAAUGAAAAAACUAUGAUGAAUUUGGAUAAUUUAAGGACGUCAAUCCCAUUUUUAUAGUCGCUUUUUGUCAACAUUACGAAAACACAAAAAUUCAUCACUUUCUUCUUCUUCUCACCGUCCAAUCACCUAAUAACUCUAUGAUGAGCUAAUAAAAUAAUAUCUAAAAACCCAACUCACCCACAAAGAAAACCUAAUCAAUCAACAAAACGAAUCUAAUCAGUUCGCAACGCGUCAAUAAAAACGAGAUCCAAGUCGUAUCAGUUGACCACCCCUGUUUGGCGACAACUGCAGAUUGAGUGCGCCUGCGCAUCAAGGUUAUUGCCUCCGCCGUGUGAACCAGCCACUGGUCUAGGAUAUGAGACUUGUGGGAAUCGAGCCUCAUAUUUUGUAUAGCCUGGAGGCAUAUUAUUUACUGGAAACUAGUAUUUAUUUAUUGUAUUAUGUUAGCUGCUGAUAAAAAAAGUGACUUUGAUACGACGUCAUAAAAUGAAUCAAUAAAAAAAGACUUAGCUUAUGCUAAUAAAACAGUAAUGACGAAAACUACUCAAUAGGAGAAAUAGGCCCAAAUGUAAGGCGGGGGCUUUUUUUAUAAAUCCUCUUGUACACCACUAACACCACCCACUCCCUCGGGAAACGAAGUGGGUGUUGUUAGACUCUUACUGACUAAACCUGAACCGCCGUGCUAUGUCACCGUUUUUGUGUCGCUGUACGACAAUGCGUUGCAAUCCCUCAUAUACGACUGUUUUAGGCCUGCUAGACCUAAUUCACUCCAAACGUUCGGGUCUCAGACCUGGGACAAUCCUGUACUACCAGAUGAUUGAACGAUUCCCGAAAGAUAUGUCAUUUAAUUUGGUUUACAAUCGACAUUUUUCAAAAUGGUCCUACUUCUGUAUUACGGCACAUGCUGCGAUAUUGUAUAUCGUAUUAUUUUUAAUGUUAGUGUGAUAAAAUUUAUCAGCAAUGGCUUAUUACCUAAGCAACGGCUCGAUUGCUGCUUGCACUUCUUUGUGUAUUUCGUUGUGUUUUUAUAAUGGAUAGGUCAAGUACAUCACGCCCAAACAUUGACCGUACUUCUAACAAAUUUAUAACCCAUCCAUCUUUAAUUAUUUAAGCAGCCUCUCUGCCUACCCCAACACCAUAUCAAUUGGUGUUUAAGUCCUCCAUGAUUUAACGCAUAUGCGUCAUGGCCAGAUACGACCAUAACCUACGCUAUAGUGUUGUGGGGGGUCAAUGUCACCGUUAGUGUGACAGUUGUGUAUCAUGCCUAUUGAUGUAAAGGCGUGAACAUAGUGCGUCAGGAUUUUAUGAAAGUUAAUUUUUAGAUUCUUUUGUGUGACUUGGUCUAAAUAUUUUAGACAAAUUUCGCUGUGAAUGAACUAAAUAUUUUAGAUAAACUUCGCUGUGAAUGAAUGUGAAAAAGGAUAACAAAUAUUUAAAUUAAAAGAGACAAGUUUGGGCAACACAAAAAAGGUUAAUAAUUAGAUUUUACAGUAACAAAAGAUAUUAUCGAUAGCAUACAUAUUUCCAUUUUAAUAUUACUUUUGCCAAUCUAUACCAGACAUAGAAAUCAGUUCAAAUGGACAGGACAAGAUACUCAUAUGCAAAGUACCACAACCUUUUUUAACAAGUAUCACCUGUAAAAAGCACUUCAAAUGCCUACUGUAAUUUUUAUAUGAUUGCAGUAAUUUUUCAACAUGCGACGACCAUUCAAAACAAAAUUUUCAUAAUACUCAUGUACUAGUAUAAUCCUCGUAAAUUGCUAAAGCGCAGGAACUUUGUCAUACUAAAGGGCAAAUGACGUCAUAGUGACGCAAAAAAGUAGUAUUAAAAAGAGCAUGCAAUAGACGUCACUUUACUUCACUAAAAUGGCGGCCAGGCGUAUUAGCAAUUUGCGGGGAUAGUAAGUCUAUUUCAUUGUGAACUAAGCCUUAGGACGCACAUCGGACAUACGUCCACAUCGACUCUAAUGGAAUCUAAGACAUGCAAUGCGUUUGUCGAGGUUUUUGUAAUGGACCACUUUGUUGAGAUAAAUUGGAUUUUAUAGUAAGCUGAAGCAGUUUAGUUUAAACACACCGAGUUUUUCUCGUGAGACUUGCUUGAGUGUUAGUUACUUAGGUAGUGAUGAUAUCUAAGGUUAAAAUAAUAUUGAAAUUGAGAUUGAUUGUUUAAAAUGGUAAUGUUAUAGAAUAGAAAAGGUCUUGAAAUUUCAUUCAAUAAAUUCUAGAUUUUACCAAAAAAAUAAUGUUUUUAUGCUAACUUGA